UGGGGAAUAUUGCACAAUGGGCGCAAGCCUGAUGCAGCGACGCCGCGUGAGGGAUGGAGGCCUUCGGGUUGUAAACCUCUUUCGCCAGUGAAGCAGGCCAUCUUCUUUGUGGGGUGGUUGACGGUAGCUGGAUAAGAAGCGCCGGCUAACUACGUGCCAGCAGCCGCGGUAAUACGUAGGGCGCGAGCGUUGUCCGGAAUUAUUGGGCGUAAAGAGCUCGUAGGCGGCUGGUCGCGUCUGUCGUGAAAUCCCCUGGCUUAACUGGGGGCUUGCGGUGGGUACGGGCCGGCUUGAGUGCGGUAGGGGAGACUGGAAGUCCUGGUGUAGCGGUGGAAUGCGCAGAUAUCAGGAGGAACACCGGUGGCGAAGGCGGGUCUCUGGGCCGUUACUGACGCUGAGGAGCGAAAGCGUGGGGAGCGAACAGG
RNAcentral lists this ribosomal RNA (425 nucleotides) under bacterium. Its description in RNAcentral is "partial 16S ribosomal RNA". It matches the Rfam family "Bacterial small subunit ribosomal RNA", at positions 355 to 776 of the family's 1533-position model. The record is from RNAcentral.